UACGAAGGGGGCUAGCGUUGCUCGGAAUCACUGGGCGUAAAGGGCGCGUAGGCGGGAUGGCAAGUCGGUCGUGAAAUCCCUCGGCUCAACCGAGGAACGUCGAUCGAUACUGCUGUUCUUGAGGAUUGCAGAGGAGACUGGAAUUCCUGGUGUAGCGGUGAAAUGCGCAGAUAUCAGGAGGAACACCGGUGGCGAAGGCGGGGUCUCUGGGCCGAAACUGACGCUGAGGAGCGAAAGCGUGGGGAGCAAACAGG
RNAcentral lists this ribosomal RNA (254 nucleotides) under uncultured bacterium. RNAcentral describes it as "partial 16S ribosomal RNA". It matches the Rfam family "Bacterial small subunit ribosomal RNA", at positions 524 to 776 of the family's 1533-position model. The record is from RNAcentral.